UACAGAGGGGGCAAGCGUUGUUCGGAAUUACUGGGCGUAAAGGGCGCGUAGGCGGCCUGUUAAGUCGAACGUGAAAUCCCCGGGCUCAACCCGGGAACUGCGUCCGAUACUGGCAGGCUUGAAUCCGGGAGAGGGAUGCGGAAUUCCUGGUGUAGCGGUGGAAUGCGCAGAUAUCAGGAGGAACACCGAUGGCGAAGGCAGGUCUCUGGGCCACUACUGACGCUGAGAAGCGAAAGCAUGGGGAGCGAACAGG
This 253-nucleotide ribosomal RNA is filed under the name uncultured bacterium. RNAcentral describes it as "partial 16S ribosomal RNA". It matches the Rfam family "Bacterial small subunit ribosomal RNA", at positions 524 to 776 of the family's 1533-position model. The record is from RNAcentral.